Molecule: transfer RNA, 67 nt
Filed under: Parioglossus raoi (Rao's hover goby)
Lineage: Eukaryota; Metazoa; Chordata; Actinopteri; Gobiiformes; Gobiidae
Description: tRNA-Cys
Source: RNAcentral
AGCCUUGAGGUGUUUCCACAUAUUGGAUUGCAAAUCCUAAGUAGCAGGUUGACGUCUGCCGGGGCUU